RNAcentral lists this ribosomal RNA (459 nucleotides) under uncultured bacterium. Its description in RNAcentral is "bacterial SSU rRNA". It matches the Rfam family "Bacterial small subunit ribosomal RNA", at positions 338 to 795 of the family's 1533-position model. The record is from RNAcentral.
CCUACGGGUGGCUGCAGUCGAGAAUCUUCGGCAAUGGGCGCAAGCCUGACCGAGCGACGCCGCGUGGGGGAUGAAGGCCUUCGGGUUGUAAACCCCUGUCGAGGGGGAGCAAGGUGGCGCGAAGAGCGUCGCUUGAGCGACCCCUGGAGGAAGCACGGGCUAAGUUCGUGCCAGCAGCCGCGGUAAGACGAACCGUGCGAACGUUAUUCGGAAUCACUGGGCCUAAAGCGCGUGCAGGCGGCCCGGCGCGUCUCCAGCUGAAAUCCCCCGGCUCAACCGGGGAAGUGGCGGGGAAACGGCCGGGCUUGAGGGGGGUAGGGGGAUCGGGAACUCACGGUGGAGCGGUGAAAUGCGUUGAGAUCGUGAGGAACGCCCGCGGCGAAAGCGCGGUCCUGGGCCCCACCUGACGCUGAGACGCGAAAGCCAGGGGAGCGAACGGGAUUAGAUACCCUAGUAGUC